CAAGGUCAUGCAUUGGUCACUCCAAGGAAGCCAUUAUCAGUCACAUAUACAGAUUUUGCUGGUAUCCUUAGAUAUGCUGGGGAUGAUCUUCAUAGGCAUAAGAUUCAUGAUGAGAAUGUUAUUGAGGAUGGGGAGAUGGCCUUCUUGUAUGAUGCAGCUUAUGGACCAAUUAAGCAUGGCACCACCAAGGGCAUGAUUCCGUACUAUAGAUUGAUUAAUCAAUUAUUUCGUUAUACUCUUUACCCUAAAGGUGAAGAUUCCGCCAGAGUGCUCUAUCCUGGCCGCCUUCUCUUUAUUCUUUUUUCCCAAUCGCGGGAGCGAGGCAGCAGGUAAACUAUUUUUUAGCUGUAGCGCGGGCUUUUCUACCGCCAAAUACCACACUCACCUGAAACUUACCUUACAUGUGGGACCCUGUCGCGGUAAAAACUUCCCAUUUGAUCGGUAACAGGUUCGACCCACGGGAGGAGUACGUUUUCUAUUUUAUUUUCCUACCCUAUUUAUCAGCUUAAAGUUACAUGUGGGACCCUCGUUGGUUUAUGAUAUUUUUGCGGAGCUUAUAUCAUCACAAAACCACCAUGUAACAGCGAGUGAUGAUUUUUUUUUACUACAGUGGCAACUUUUAUGACGUUAUGUAGCUUUGUCACUAAAUUUGCUCGGAUGUCAAACUUUAUGAUGUUUUCAGCUAGAAACAUUAUAGAUCUAUAACAAGAACAAAUGUGUCAUAAAAUUUUUAUCAUAGAUCAACAUAUUUCUUGUAGUGUAGUGUCAAAUUCUCGGAGAAGUUUGCAAUAAUGUAAAAGCUUGGUGCUUUACUAAUCACCCGUAGAUGAUGUGUGUCGUUACAAUUUGUGUAACGCUUAAAAGCCCUAGUUACUUGCAUUGCACAAAUCAUCUAUAAAUUAUAGGUAUGCAUGAUACAAUAAACCAAAUUAC
RNAcentral lists this long non-coding RNA (933 nucleotides) under Setaria viridis. RNAcentral describes it as "long non-coding RNA (SVIR_LNC000854)". The record is from RNAcentral. Lineage: Eukaryota; Viridiplantae; Streptophyta; Magnoliopsida; Poales; Poaceae.